GUGCUCACUUUGGCAGCAAAUAUACUAAAAUUGAAACCAUACAGAGAUUAGCAUGGCCUCUGCACAAGGAUGACAUGCAAAUUCGUGAAUCGUUCCAUAUUUUU
Camelus dromedarius (Arabian camel) is the source of this 104-nucleotide small nuclear RNA. Lineage: Eukaryota; Metazoa; Chordata; Mammalia; Artiodactyla; Camelidae. The record is from Ensembl.